Molecule: ribosomal RNA, 449 nt
Filed under: uncultured bacterium
Lineage: Bacteria
Description: partial 16S ribosomal RNA
Rfam family: Bacterial small subunit ribosomal RNA
Source: RNAcentral
AACGAACGCUGGCGGCAGGCCGAACACAUGCAAGUCGAACGCUGUAGCAAUACAGAGUGGCAGACGGGUGAGUAACGCGUGGGAACGUGCCUUUCGGUUCGGAAUAACUCAGGGAAACUUGAGCUAAUACCGUAUACGCCCUUCGGGGGAAAGAUUUAUUGCCGAAAUAUCGGCCCGCUUCCGAUUAGCUGGUGGGUGUGGUAAUGGCGCACCAAGGCGACGAUCGGUAGCUGGUCUGGGAGGAUGAUCAGCCACACUGGGACUGCGACACGGCCACGACUCCAACGGGAGGCAGCAGUGGGGAAUAUUGGACAAUGGGCGCAAGCCUGAUCCAGCCAUGCCGCGUGAGUGCUGAAGGCCCUAGGGUUGUAAAGCUCUUUCGCCAGGGACGAUAAUGACGGUACCUGGAUAAGAAGCCCCGGCUAACUUCGUGCCAGCAGCCGCGGUAA